AACGAACGCUGGCGGCAGGCCUAACACAUGCAAGUCGAACGGAUCCUUCGGGAUUAGUGGCGGACGGGUGGGUAACGCGUGGGAACAUACCCUUUGGUACGGAAUAGCCUCGGGAAACUGGGAGUAAUACCGUAUGUGGUCGAGAGACGAAAGAUUUAUCGCCAAAGGAUUGGCCCGCGUUGGAUUAGGUAGUUGGUGGGGUAAUGGCCUACCAAGCCGACGAUCCAUAGCUGGUUUGAGAGGAUGAUCAGCCACACUGGGACUGAGACACGGCCCAGACUCCUACGGGAGGCAGCAGUGGGGAAUCUUAGACAAUGGGGGAAACCCUGAUCUAGCCAUGCCGCGUGAUCGAUGAAGGCCUUAGGGUUGUAAAGAUCUUUCAGGUGGGAAGAUAAUGACUGUACCACCAGAAGAAGCCCCGGCUAACUCCGUGCCAGCAGCCGCGGUAA
RNAcentral lists this ribosomal RNA (449 nucleotides) under uncultured bacterium. RNAcentral describes it as "partial 16S ribosomal RNA". It matches the Rfam family "Bacterial small subunit ribosomal RNA", at positions 29 to 523 of the family's 1533-position model. The record is from RNAcentral.